AGUGAACGCUGGCGGUAGGCCUAACACAUGCAAGUCGAACGGCAGCACAGUAAGAGCUUGCUCUUACGGGUGGCGAGUGGCGGACGGGUGAGGAAUACAUCGGAAUCUACUUUUUCGUGGGGGAUAACGUAGGGAAACUUACGCUAAUACCGCAUACGACCUACGGGUGAAAGCAGGGGAUCUUCGGACCUUGCGCGAUUGAAUGAGCCGAUGUCGGAUUAGCUAGUUGGCGGGGUAAAGGCCCACCAAGGCGACGAUCCGUAGCUGGUCUGAGAGGAUGAUCAGCCACACUGGAACUGAGACACGGUCCAGACUCCGACGGGAGGCAGCAGUGGGGAAUAUUGGACAAUGGGCCCAAGCCUGAUCCAGCCAUACCGCGUGGGUGAAGAAGGCCUUCGGGUUGUAAAGCCCUUUUGUUGGGAAAGAAAAGCAGCAGGUUAAUACCCCGCUGUUCUGACGGUACCCAAAGAAUAAGCACCGGCUAACUUCGUG
Molecule: ribosomal RNA, 492 nt
Filed under: uncultured bacterium
Lineage: Bacteria
Description: partial 16S ribosomal RNA
Rfam family: Bacterial small subunit ribosomal RNA
Source: RNAcentral